Galeopterus variegatus (Sunda flying lemur) is the source of this 414-nucleotide non-coding RNA. NCBI's taxonomy places the organism in Eukaryota, Metazoa, Chordata, Mammalia, Dermoptera, Cynocephalidae. The record is from the annotation of a RefSeq genome assembly.
AUGCUUUCUGUCACCUGCUCAGUUCUUGUGAUCUUAAUAUUCAGCAGGAGCAAUGGAGACUCAGUGACCCAGACAGGCCCGGUUACUGUCUCAGAGGGGGCACCUGUGAUCUUGAACUGCACUUACCAGACCACUUAUUCAAUUUCUGUCCUUUUAUGGUAUGUCCAAUAUCUCAAUAAAGCUCCUCAACUACUGCUGAAGAGCUCAACAGAAAACCAGAGGACAGAAGGUCAAGGUUUUCAGGCCAAUCAUGUGAAGAGUGACAGCUUUUUCUACCUGAAGAAACCCUCAGCGCAAAUGUCAGACUCGGCUGUGUACUACUGUGCUCUGAUAGACACCAUGAGAGGAGCUGCAGGGGGAGCCGAGCACAAACCCAGAGGGGCACAGGUGCGGCCUGGGUGUGAGCAGCCCUAG